This 252-nucleotide ribosomal RNA is filed under the name uncultured bacterium. Its description in RNAcentral is "partial 16S ribosomal RNA". It matches the Rfam family "Bacterial small subunit ribosomal RNA", at positions 524 to 776 of the family's 1533-position model. The record is from RNAcentral.
UACGUAGGUGGCAAGCGUUUUCCGGAAUUAUUGGGCGUAAAGCGCGCGCAGGCGGUUAUGUAAGUCUGAUGUUAAAGCCCGGGGCUCAACCUCGGUUCGCAUUGGAAACUGCGUAACUUGAGUGCAGAAGAGGAAAGUGGUAUUCCACGUGUAGCGGUGAAAUGCGUAGAUAUGUGGAGGAACACCAGUGGCGAAGGCGACUUUCUGGUCUGUAACUGACGCUGAGGCGCGAAAGCGUGGGAAGCAAACAGG